GACCAAAGAGACCUCGGCGGCUUCCCUCAAUGGUCUAAAGGCGUGGGGACUCCUCUAUGAAAAAAGAAGAAAAGUAGCAUUAAUUGUUAACGUCAGCAGUGAUGAGAAGGGGAAAAAAGAAGAGGGAUGAGAAUCAACGCUGGUGGUACUAACAAUCAAUGCUACUCUUCUUCUUAUCUCAUGGAGGAGUCUUCAUGGUUUUGGACCAUUGAGGAAAGCCGUCGAAGCCUCU
This 232-nucleotide long non-coding RNA is filed under the name Elaeis guineensis (African oil palm). Its description in RNAcentral is "long non-coding RNA (EGUI_LNC015221)". Lineage: Eukaryota; Viridiplantae; Streptophyta; Magnoliopsida; Arecales; Arecaceae. The record is from RNAcentral.